AACCUAGCACACCUGCGGUGUGUACCUGCGGAGGGAUCAUUACCGAGUUUACAAACUCCCAACCCUUUGUGAACCUUACCAUAUUGUUGCUUCGGCGGGACCGCCCCGGCGCCUUCGGGCCCGGAACCAGGCGCCCGCCGGAGGCCCCAAACUCUUAUGUCUUUAGUGGUUUUCCCCUCUGAGUGACACAUAAACAAAUAAAUAAAAACUUUCAACAACGGAUCUCAGAUCGGAAGAGCA
This 240-nucleotide unclassified non-coding RNA is filed under the name soil metagenome. RNAcentral describes it as "partial contains 5.8S ribosomal RNA, internal transcribed spacer 2, and large subunit ribosomal RNA". The record is from RNAcentral.